GUAUGACCCAGCAGAUGUGGGGUACCUACUGAGGGAUUAGUGUACUGAGCAGAAAAUGAUGACUUGUGAACAAAUGAAGCGGAUGCUAGAGCAGAACGACCUCCCCCAUUGCUUGGGAUCAAAAAGCUAUGCCAGAUUUAAUCAUGAUGCGGCAACUACUUUUGGCACGGCCCCUACUCGAGCUGAGUCGUUCGUGAAGAUGCACACUAGGAAGGACGGCACUCACUCGAACGAACGUACACGGGUCCUAUGUG
Long non-coding RNA from Alnus glutinosa, 254 nucleotides. RefSeq lists it as uncharacterized. The transcript has 3 exons. Lineage: Eukaryota; Viridiplantae; Streptophyta; Magnoliopsida; Fagales; Betulaceae. The record is from RefSeq and is a predicted model, not a curated record.